RNAcentral lists this ribosomal RNA (497 nucleotides) under uncultured bacterium. RNAcentral's name for it is "partial 16S ribosomal RNA". It matches the Rfam family "Bacterial small subunit ribosomal RNA", at positions 28 to 507 of the family's 1533-position model. The record is from RNAcentral.
GAUGAACGCUGGCGGCGUGCCUAAUACAUGCAAGUCGAGCGAACAGAUAAGGAGCUUGCUCCUUUGACGUUAGCGGCGGACGGGUGAGUAACACGUGGGUAACCUACCUAUAAGACUGGGAUAACUUCGGGAAACCGGAGCUAAUCCCGGAUAAUAUUUCGAACCGCAUGGUUCGAUAGUGGAAGUUGGUUUUGGUAUCACUUAUAGAUGGACCCGCGCCGUAUUAGCUAGUUGGUAAGGUAACGGCUUACCAAGGCGACGAUACGUAGCCGACCUGAGAGGGUGAUCGGCCACACUGGAACUGAGACACGGUCCAGGCGCCUACGGGAGGCAGCAGUAGGGAAUCGUCCGCAGUGGGCGAAAGCCUGACGGAGCAACGCCGCGUGAGUGAUGAAGGUCUUCGGAUCGUAAAACUCUGUUAUUAGGGAAGAACAUACGUGUAAGUAACUGUGCACGUCUUGACGGUACCUAAUCAGAAAGCCACGGCUAACUACGUG